GUCCGUUUGGGGACAUAUGCUAAAAUUUGAACGAUACAUAGAAGAUUAACAUGGUCCUUGCGCAAGGAUGACACACGUGAAUUGAGAAAUGCUCCAUUUUUUU
This is a small nuclear RNA of Rosa chinensis, 103 nucleotides long. NCBI's taxonomy places the organism in Eukaryota, Viridiplantae, Streptophyta, Magnoliopsida, Rosales, Rosaceae. The record is from RefSeq and is a predicted model, not a curated record.